CACGAAGUUAGCCGGGGCUUCUUCUCCGGUUACCGUCAUUAUCUUCACCGGUGAAAGAGCUUUACAACCCUAGGGCCUUCAUCACUCACGCGGCAUGGCUGGAUCAGGCUUGCGCCCAUUGUCCAAUAUUCCCCA
Molecule: ribosomal RNA, 135 nt
Filed under: uncultured bacterium
Lineage: Bacteria
Description: partial 16S ribosomal RNA
Source: RNAcentral